AUCACCUCUGAUGGUUUGGGGGGGGGUCUCACUGCCUCCCAGCACCCCAGGAUCCCCCCGUUGGCCCCCGGGCUGGUUUUGGGGUGCUGUGUGUCCCUGGGGGGGCUGGCAGUGACCCCCGCCGCCCCCAGGUACCGUUACACCCUGGACGAGCUCCCGGCCAUGCUGCACAAGCUCAAGGUGCGCGCGGAGUCCUUCGACACCUGGGCCAACAAGGUGCGCGUCGCCCUGGAGGUGGAGGACGGCCGCAAGCGCACGCUGGAGGAGCUGCGGGCGCUGGAGUCGGAGGCGCGGGAGCGCAAGUUCCCCGAGAACGAGCUGCUGCACCGCCUCAAGGGCUGCCUGGGCCAGGCCGAGCGCUGCGUGUCCGAGGCCCUGGGGCUCAUCAGCUCCCAGGAGACCGGGUGAGUGUCCCUGGGGUGUCCCCGGGGUGUCCCUGGGGUGUCCCCGGGGUGUCCCCGGGGUGUCCCCGGGGUGUCCCUGGGGUGUCCCCAGUGUGUCCCCGGGGUGUCCCUGGGGUGUCCCCGGGGUGUCCCUGGGGUGUCCCCGGGGUGUCCCUGGGGUGUCCCCGGGGUGUCCCUGGGGUGUCCCUGGGGUGUCCCCGGGGUGUCCCUGGGGUGUCCCUGGGGUGUCCCCGGGGUGUCCCUGGGUGUCCCCAGGGUGUCCCCGGGGUGUCCCUGGGGUGUCCCCACAGUGUCCCCGGGGUGUCCCCACGGUGUCCCCAGAGUGUCCCCUCACUGUCCCCACAGUGUCCCCAGAGUGUCCCCAGGGUGUCCCCAUGGUGUCCCCAGGGUGUCCCCAUGGUGUCCCCAGGGUGUCCCCAGAGUGUCCCCAGAGUGUCCCCAUGGUGUCCCCAC
Molecule: long non-coding RNA, 857 nt
Filed under: Parus major (Great Tit)
Lineage: Eukaryota; Metazoa; Chordata; Aves; Passeriformes; Paridae
Description: lncRNA (ENSPMJG00000002206.1)
Source: RNAcentral